This is a long non-coding RNA of Chionomys nivalis (European snow vole), 357 nucleotides long. RefSeq lists it as uncharacterized. The record is from RefSeq and is a predicted model, not a curated record. The transcript has 3 exons. Lineage: Eukaryota; Metazoa; Chordata; Mammalia; Rodentia; Cricetidae.
CCGGGCUCCUGAAAGAGGAAGGAUGCCGGAAUGCGACCGGGUAGAGGGUGCUGUCUGCCUGGGCCUUAGUCUCCAGGAAUCCCGACAUCGCCCGAUGAUUCUGGGAGGAAUGACGAGCUGACCUUUCCGAAUCUGGAAACUCAAGAUCAAGGGUUCAUUUCUUCUGAGACCUGUCUCCAUUGCUUAUAUCAGAACCCAGGUCCAGUGUGGUUGCAAGACCGGAAGUUCUCCACGAAUCCUCAAAGCCUUCAACUGAGAUUUCCGAGGCAUACACCUUUAUGGACUAAAGGGCUAUCAGGUUCUCAUCCUAUCCAGCAUGCAGAUAACCAUUCUUAGGCUACCUAGUCUCUACCAUGU